UACAGAGGUCUCAAGCGUUGUUCGGAUUCAUUGGGCGUAAAGGGUGCGUAGGUGGUGCUGUAAGUCAGGUGUGAAAUCUCGGGGCUCAACCCCGAAACUGCACUUGAUACUGCAGUGCUCGAGGACUGGAGAGGAGAUUGGAAUUCAUGGUGUAGCAGUGAAAUGCGUAGAUAUCAUGAGGAAGACCAGUGGCGAAGGCCGAUCUCUGGACAGUUCCUGACACUGAGGCACGAAGGCCAGGGGAGCAAACGGG
This 253-nucleotide ribosomal RNA is filed under the name uncultured bacterium. RNAcentral describes it as "partial 16S ribosomal RNA". It matches the Rfam family "Bacterial small subunit ribosomal RNA", at positions 524 to 776 of the family's 1533-position model. The record is from RNAcentral.